GCCAACGAGUGCUCGGUCUCGGGAUCCGCAAAUUCCAUUAGAUCCGAGACAGGUUUCGCGUCAACUACCUCGAGGGUGGUUCACGUGGACGAUAAGGAUGAUCAAAUUGUACAGGAAAUAGCUGCCCAUCACUGGGAAUGAUAACUCAUUGCUUGCGGUAACCCGUCGAUCCGGCGUUCAGACUGUUGCCUUAAUUUUCACCAACUUUCAACCGCUGGCUCGAGUUACUUAUAUCUGUACUAGUUAUGUCGCUUGCAUACGUCAUUGUGCGAGGAGGAGCGCAUCAGAGGCGAGACUUCGUUUAUCCUGUUCAUCAGCGUUGUCUGCGAGGCUGGUCAUAAGUGAACUCUUGGAAUAGAGAAUCUAUAGAUCUAGGCGUCGAAGGAUGCUUUCUACCCUGCCAUAGAGAAACUCGGUAGAGUUUCGAGCCAAGUACAUCGAGAUGCAUGGUACUACUCCAGAGUUUCAGGUCACCUUUUACCAACUACCGAAAGACCGCAGGUGAUAGUCCAUUCAGAGCUGUACUAUUUUCUAAAUGAUCAUACGGCAUUUCUUUUACGGUGCCUUGAGCUAUUCUUUCAUUACUUUAAUAUCACGCAGGAUAAACGGAGGAUGGACGUUAAGCCUGGCGACGGUUCCCCACAAAGGCAGAAGGCGCAGCAGGAAUAAAAGUCAUAUACGCAUUCUGCCAGAGCCGGCGCCAUUUAAUCACCUCGGACGAUCGUCGAUUAUUCCAAAGCAGGCAAUUACGCCAUUUUUACGGCGAUACGCAAUCAAGUUCGACUAGCGACGCGCAACCUUAACCUCGUAACGGAAAACACGGCCCGUAAUGCCCGCGUCCGUGAUUGCCCUCACACUUGCGCAACGCUCGUAAACGGCCGCCAUUUUGCACGUGGUAAUGUUUACAAUGUUCAUUCUCCUCAUCGGGCGGCCUCGUUUAAGGGAAUUCCAACGGCACUUUCGGAAUGUCGAGCCUUCGGUAAUCAUUUUUCCCAGGCCGAACCGUGGGGGAGGCGCCGCGUGAUCGAUACGCCCGCUCUUUUAUGACAAUCGUAAAAGUGCGCGGUCUCGCACGUGGCACUGUUUACAAUAUUAAUCCUGUUUUAAAAGCCCAUGAAAAUGGGAUCCCACCCCCUAGGCUAUUUUCCGCAAGCUCCUUCAGCGGAUUCUCGGACCCCGCCGAAUUGCCUCGCUGCUCGUCCGGCUGCAACGCCAGGGGAAUUUAAUGCGUGGCUGAAGGCGAUCGUUGUGCAAUCUGGACUAAAUCGGUGCGUCGUCGCAUCGUGCAUUUAAUGCGUGGCUGGCGGACAGACACGAUAAAAGUUCAUCGCGAACGAGGGAAAAUGUAUGGUGGACGUUGGUGACACCUCUCGAGGGCGUAUACCGAAUAUGUCGAGGCGGACGCGCAGAUUGUCUCUAGUAGGACCAUUAUCGUGUCACCGUGGUAAUGGCUGAUCGAUUGGCCAGGAUGUUGCGCACCGUGUCGAGGCGGUGCAAUGGCGACACUGGCCGUGUUCAUCGGUGAAAUCUAAUUGCCCGGGAUGUAAAGAUCGCCCCCUCGUCGAGGCACUUUCUGCGGCGUAGGCGCACGUGGAAAGUUUUCUCUCCCGGCCCAACGCAACGAUCCGCGUGUCGCUAAUGGACGGUCCAUGUGAUACAAUUAAGGUCGACCUUGUCAAGUUCUUCGCGCUUAGAAUCAAGCGUUGUCAUGUUAAAAUCGUCACACGACGAUUUUAACAUGACCCUCGCCUCUGUCUCUCUCUUAAUUCGAGGGCGAGACUGCUCCGCGUUUCGGAACGUCGAUCCCACGCUCCUUCGUCUUUAUGCAACUCGUUUCCCGGAAAAAAAAAAAUAAGAAAAAAAAAACAGAAAAUGGAGACGCGCGCUCCUUUUUCCGCACGUGCAUAGAGCAAUUCAUGAACCGUCCCCGUUACCAAGUGCGCAGCAGUCUCGACGAGUAAGAAAUUCGCGAUAGCGCGGACUGUUUUUCCCCCAGGCGAGACGAGAAAAUCAUAUUAUUGGCGCCGACCUCUGCUCUUCGGUCCGGCCUUCUAGGUUUCAACGUGUCGCGUGUUCGACGUCCGUCAUCCAACCUCAAGACAUUCAAGCCUGACGGGACUCCGGAUUUGCGGCCCAGCUGCAAAGGAAAUGACAAAACCUUCCGAAAACGUUUACAGGAGACACGGAAGAGGAGGAAAAUCCCCAUAGCGGCGUAUUACAAGGCUAACGGAAACUGCGGAGCUCUCUUGAAAAGCGGGAAAAACCUUUGUGCAGUUGCAGGAGGCGCCAUCACGUCGCGGCGCAAUGUUCCUGCAACUGCGCUGUUCCUGGCUCGGCCAACUAUUCAGAUUCGAGAUCGAUACCACGGAGAGGGAUAUUACCAGGGCGAGAAGGCUCCGCAGAUUCGGCAUUACAAUUUUAUAAAAAUCACCCCAAUCAACUCAUGUUCAGUUUCGUCUGAUCUGAGGUCGUAUCAAUCAAGGAAGAUCCGAAUGGACUUCGACAUCGGUCGAAAAUCGGCUGAUCAAAGGCGAACCGAGGCAGGUAAAAGUUUGGAAUUUAAAGACAAUUUGUAUCUGUAGAUUCGGGAUAUCUCGAGUUGCUGGUAAACCUCUCCUAAAAUAAGCCUAGGGUCUUGCCAGGGCAUCAUCUCGGGUUACGAUACCAACUAGUGCGCCGGUAUACCGGUGUUAUUAUUUCAUAGCGGAAAUGACCAAUCAGGCGUGUAUGUGAUAAAUCUGUCCGACAGUUUUGGCAAUGAGCUCGUCGGACAUGUAUUCGACACUUCGUCGCGGCCUUUUGCGUAUGACAGACUUCGAGUACUGUUAACACCGUCUCGUUGAUGAUGCCCUGACUCGACAGCAUUCCCCUAGAGGGAAUUAUUUACCCUCGAGCCGGCGAAACUGUGAUCGGCGAGAACGUCUUGCGAUGGCGUAGUACGGCAUCUACAAAUGGAUUUAGCUGAAAAGAAGGCCACGGCGUAGUAGGCCACCGCGGUAUUGAUUUCGGUCGGCUUCUGCAUCAGAGACUAUACGGUGUCACCGUAUACGGAGAGUAGAAGGGAAGGCCAUUGCGAAGUCGACACGAAGAAAACACUUUCGAGCGGAUGUCAUUGCGUCAGGGUCCCGAAGGGUCGAAGAACCCGAGAGAAAAAUCGAGCCGCUCCUUGAGACGUGGAAAAAAAGUCGAAAAUUUCAUAUCCUGCCGACCUAGAGAGGGACUUUCUCGAUAUAAAUGCCACCGGGACAUUUGAUACCCAGGGAUCCGUUUCCAGCGCUUUGCGGUCCGACCGGAGACUCGUUUGCAGAGAAUCCCGUCCUAGGUACCCUGAUUUGUCGGCGAGUUAAAUGUUUAAUUAGCGCCAGAGAGAUGGUUGCGUAACUCCUCGGGACGUCCAUCGGGAGGUAUUUACGAUCUUCCCCCAGGACGGCCGCUGACUGCGGCAUGACUCAAACUCGAGUUGUGGUGGAGUUUACGUUUACGCCGACCACGCGUCCAUGUAGACGGGGCUCGAAACGGGUUCGUAAAAUCGAUCAAGUUCGGAGGAAAUUGGCAGUGCUCGCGUCUGCGACCUUUUUGCGAAACCCCGGCAAGAAAGGCGCCAUUCCAACUGGUCGCUCGUAAAUAAAUCAGCCCGUAGUUGCUCUUUAACCCUUUAGCUGCGAAAGGCUCGGAAAGAGCCCCGAAGAAGUGGACGUCGAGCACAUUUAUUUGGCUCGUUACGGUGCAUUUAAGCCCCUACUUAUAUACUGGUAUAUCGAUGAUGUAGUCGAUGCACUUGACGCAGUUGAUGCGCAUUGGGGGUUCGCGACAUUUGCUCUACAAGUAGUUGCCCUCAUGUAAAGUGGGGAGUAAUCCCCCUCGGUAACCGGUCCCAGUCGUGUCGUUAUGUCCCUGGGUUAAGAAGAUCUGGAGGCAAUCUUUAGGGUUGGGACUGGUGAACUGGCUCGAUCCAGCUCUUAGAACGGCUGCAAAACUCGGCUAAGCUCCCAUUCGCCAGAUACGAGCGAUCUUGAAGUCUGGUCUCCUGGUCAUGCACGUCCUUGUCGAGAAUUCCUGGCCUUGUCGGACUGAAUCACCCCGAGUCGAGAUUCGCGUUUAAUCGUUUGUUAAGCGAGUCGUAAGUCGACUAUUCCGCUAUACGGAUAACAGACUAGGAAACGGUGAGCGAUGAUAAAUCUAGGAUAGUAACGGACCGACGCUGAGAAUUUCCUCCUCGGAUAAAAUCAUUGCGGCAAUUAACAUUUUUGUACAUUCUACAUUAAUCGCCUGUAUCUCUGAAAACGUGGGUAAUUAACGGACCCAAAUUAUAAGUACAAGUUUGAGCGGUA
RNAcentral lists this long non-coding RNA (4331 nucleotides) under Orussus abietinus. RNAcentral's name for it is "uncharacterized LOC111674307". The record is from RNAcentral. Lineage: Eukaryota; Metazoa; Arthropoda; Insecta; Hymenoptera; Orussidae.